Molecule: ribosomal RNA, 301 nt
Filed under: uncultured bacterium
Lineage: Bacteria
Description: partial 16S ribosomal RNA
Rfam family: Bacterial small subunit ribosomal RNA
Source: RNAcentral
CAGCCGCCGCGGUAAUACGUAGGUGGCAAGCGUUGUCCGGAAUUAUUGGGCGUAAAGGGCUCGCAGGCGGUUUCUUAAGUCUGAUGUGAAAGCCCCCGGCUCAACCGGGGAGGGUCAUUGGAAACUGGGAAACUUGAGUGCAGAAGAGGAGAGUGGAAUUCCACGUGUAGCGGUGAAAUGCGUAGAGAUGUGGAGGAACACCAGUGGCGAAGGCGACUCUCUGGUCUGUAACUGACGCUGAGGAGCGAAAGCGUGGGAGCAAACAGGAUUAGAUACCCCCGUAGUCCCUGUCUCUUAUACA